AAUAAAAUAAAAUAAAAUAAAAUAAAAUAAAAUAAAUAAAAUAGUUUUUAGGAUUGCUUUAAACCUCUAGCAAGUCCUUUUGAUCUUUCAUGACCAUACUGCUUUUCCUGAAGAGAAGAGAAGACCGUUCUCUUCUCUUCAGCAUUCUCACAUGUACUGCAAUGGGAAUUUUUACCAUGAUCCUAAUAUCUGUUUCUGACCCUUGUUACUCCUGAGAGUUGCCCUCUGUUGUCUGUAGCCUGGUCUUCCUUUGCUUUUUCAUCAUUUCCUGUCAGGUAUUUUCUGCAUUAAUGUGGGGGCUGCUAAGAAUUCAGUUCUGUGCUACAACUGCUACCCAAAUCCUGAUUUACCUUGAGUGGUUACUUUGCUGUUGAAUGGUUUCUAAGCAAAUUGGUCACUCAUACUUCAUGUUGCUGCUGGCACGUUUAGAUGGAAGAGGUCAUACUUUUUGAAAAUUUAUCCUUCAGUACUCCCUGUUUGAAUCUUUGUUUAGCAAGUAAAAUUAAGUAGACCUGAGAGGAGUUAGAAGUUCUUUUAGAUCCACUUACCUGUUUAGAAAAAUAAGACCUUGCAUAUCUUAGCUGAUGAUCAGUCGAUUGUAAUAGAUAGCUGUUAGUAUUUCCUGAACAUGUAGCAUAAUGUCAGGUACAGAGUUACAUACUUUACCUGGAUUAUCUCAUUUCUUCCUCAUAAUGGCCUUAAGAAGUAGGUACUAUUAUCUUCAUUUUACAUGAGGCAGCUGAGACUCAGGAAGUUAAGUGACUGGCUGAAGGUCGCGUAGAUACCUGUUCAAGGUCACAUGCUGGAGCAUCCGUAAGAACAUGCAUAGCUUGAUCCAGAUAACCCAGGCUUUUACCUAUUGCAGCAUAAUUGAAAUAGUGUGCUUCAGACAUUAUAGGCAUCUUGAGCUUGUAUUGGGAAGUGGGCACACAUCAACGUGAAGGGCCAUGAUGUUUGGAUAAUUUUCAAAUCAGAUCUACUAGCAACUAAGUCUCUAUACUUAGCUACAUAAAUGUAGCAUUCAUCACAUUAUAUGAUUGAGCAUUCACUCAGAAUAUUUCAAUAGUACUUGAAUUGCUAUCAGCUAAAUUUUCUAUUCGUACUUUUGCUAGGCAUUUUUGUUAGCUAAACUCUCACUGGUAGUAGCAGCAUAGAUAGAGAGGGGAGAAGCCUGGCCCCUUCCCUGUUACAGGUUUAGAGUCGUUCCAUAUAUCAGAGUAUAAAGUCACACUACACCUGCUAGGGUGAGGAUGGGGGGCAUUUGUGCAAUAUAACUAUAAGAAAUGUGCUCAAAAAUGAAAUGUGUGACUGUAAAUAAAUAAGUUAGCUACUUGGUUCUGUGGCUAAGAAGCAAAAUAAUAAAGAUGGAAAUUGAAAAAGAGGAAGCUCCAACUUCAUCUCUUGGAGGGAUCACAGGGAUCAGGUUUUGCCCCUUCAGUGUCUGUGCUUCUACUGGUGGCACUUGGUAACGGGGCAUUAUGACAUGGAUGGGGAUGUUGUGAUGUGCUGUCUUCUAAGUACCUAUAUUUCUAACCAAAGGUUUGACCUCUAACAGCUAGACAUGGGUGAAAUUGGAUACCAAGCUUAAUGGUUUACCUACAGCAUCAUAGGAAAAUGGCAAUGAUAAAAUGGGAGAGAAUGGAUUGAUUAUUGCUGCUUGAGCCCAUACAGAAAUAGGGCCUUGGAGUUGCUGGAUGCCAUUGAUUGCUAUCUAUUCAUUCUCACAACAACUUUAAGGAAAAUGCAGCCAAGAGGAGAUAUACUCCCAGGUUAGAGAUACAAUGGGUAACUUCCAGCAAAUAUUAUUUCUGUGUAGAAAUGAAAAAGUAAAAAUGAGGGAUGAUAUCCAUUUUCAGAAAAUGCAAGACUGGUAUAAAAUUAAAACAUUAUAAUGUCCAGAAAGAUGAUUAUGCAUAAAUGGCAUAUCCUGACUGAAUUUGUCAUCAGCCACAGUGUUCGAUUCAUACCUACCUGUUUUACAGGAAAAAUAAAAGAUAAGUACACAUUGCUGCUAGCAUCAAAGAAGCAAUGCAACUCUAAAGACAGAGCUGGAAUCUUUUUCUUGCAUUAACUUCAAAUCUGUCAGUGGUAUAAAUUAUGAUUGCAGAAGUUAUAUUAUUGUGGCAGUAUUAUAAGCAAGAAGAAUAUAGCAGUAUUUUCAGAUCCCAGGUGGAACAUAUAUGGCUGGCAUUUAUAUCCCAGUUUAUGAUUUAUAAAGCAAGAACAAAAUUAUGAAGGGAAUAUAAGUGCUGCCCCACCUAAUCUGUCAUUUUGUUGCGUUACAUCCAAUUUCAUAACUUCUUUUUCCCUUAUUUCUUAUUUAGAAAAAUGAAUGCAGUGCUAUCAUUUUUAGAAGGAAAAGACCAGAGUUCAUUGUAUUUAGAGACGGUCAUGAAUGGCCUAUUUAUAUUAAGUAUGAGAGUUUCCAGAACAGCGAUUAAAAAUGUUUUAAAAUUCCAGAUUAGAAAUGUGGGAUUUUCCUUUUGGGCUAAAAAGCACUCUUUAAAAAGUUACAAUUAUACAACUCACAGGAAUGAAUUAAAAUUAGAAGAUUUGCAUUUAUUCUCCUCUCUUCAUGGCAGUAUAAACUUUAUGUGUUAGGGUUUUGAUUCUUCUUUUCCUCUUCUUUACUUGCAAUUAGAAUUCUGAACAUGUAUUGGUAUUUAAAAUGGUAGUUAUCCCGGACUUAAUGUAGUUGAUUCCAUUCCUGAGAGACACAUUUCUUAUCCCCUGAUUACACUCAGUUUUACUUCUACCUCCUUAUGCUACUCAAGUAAAAUUAACCUUGGUGUGACUUCCACCUUCCUCAGACUACUGACCUGGAAAUAGGGAUUUUUAAACAGGAAUCUAGCACAUGGUCAUCAUGAGGUAAUCCUUCUCCAAUAUUCUUUACUGGAAACAUCUGGAACAUGAUUAAUAGUUUGGAAAAUAGGUUAUGUUAGUAAAAGGUAAUAAUAAUUGAAAAUGAUUUUUUAUGUAGAUAAAUGUGAUUUUAAAUACAAAAUGUAAGUUCAUGAGAAGCAGUUGGAAGAAGGGCAGUUACCUGUUAUUCAUUCUUUUGAAUAUUAAAGAAGAUCAUAUAUAAUAGCAGGAGAAAUUUGUGUUAGGAAUAAUGAUCCAGUUUUGUAGAAGUUGCCCAGAGAGAAGGUAAAUUCUAUAGUGCGAAAGAAAAAAGAUAAAUAGUUAAAUGUCUAUGAAGUGUCAGAAUUUUGAGCCCAGGACAAAAUUGUCCCCAUGUUUGUUGCAAGCUUUUUUUCACUUACCAAUGAGGUGGUAAAUAUAUAUUUAUAUUAUUUACAUUUGUAUUACUUGUAUCCAUUAUUCUGCUAAGGUGUAAUGAGCUACAGGUUUUCUUGGAAGCAAAUCUGGGAUACAUAGAAUUGAUUGUUUUAGAAUGCAAAUUCCAGUAAUCAGGGACUAUUCUGGGUUCUGAGUAUGUGGAAGUAUUCUGGCAAGAAGCAAACUACAAUAAGCUGUUUAUAACUACAAGGAGUCACCAGUGUCAUGAGACAUGAAAAAAAUGUGAUGAGGGAGGCAUAAUUUGAUGUAGAAGAGUCGCAGGCAAAGAGAACCCAUUUUAAAACAUCUUAUUGGAAAAUGUGAAUUGUUUAUUUGUCAUCAGACUGCCAAUGCUGAAAAUACGGCCCAAAUUAGGGGCUCAAAUUAAAACAUACAGAGCAAGAGCAAUACGUUGGACACAGUUUUCAUAUAUUUUUGAGAAAGUAUUAAGAAAUACAGUGAAGGUAUUUAUUGAUUCAGUGGUAUUUUUCUGUUUAUUUCUUAGAACUAUAUUUUAUGCUGCAUUCUUUUACUUCAUAAGUAUCCCCUUUCUUCCUCUAUGCUUUUGUCUGGGAUUGAAAUAAAAUAAAACAUUUAGGGCUAUCCAAGGCUGUCAGGUCCAUAAUGAAAUCUGGCUUUAUUUAUGUGUGUGCUUAGAGGGUUCAGAGCAGUCGGAGCUGCUAACUGUUGUGUUAAACAUUGGUUGGCAUGCUCCUCCUUUAAAUCCUUUGAAAAGAGCUGAUUUUUUAUGUUCAUGCAAAAGAGUCCUCAGAGGAUAGUGAGGGUGAAAUGUGGUCUGCUCAUACAUGAGAUUAUCUUAUUAUACAACCUAUGCCAUUAUUAGAGGAAGAAUCAUUUGUGGGGUAAAGUAAUAUGGAUCUCUUUCCUGUAGUGUGAAGAACAGGUGUUCUACGGCCUAGGAAAUUUAGAGGAAACUUUAAUCAUGCCUGUAGAUUUCAGUAAUAAAAAUGUAUGACCUGUGUUUGGCAUAAAUGGCAUCAUAGUAUGACAAUCAAAUCUGGAUUGUAUAUCUUAGUUUGUAUAUCUAACACACAUUAUUUUGAUUUAAGUAACUGGGAAAAUUAGUAUUUUUUUAAUGUCCCAAGUAUACAUAAUGAUUAGGAUAAGUUUUUUAAAUGGGGAAUUAUGACCUAAAAUAAUUUUUUCCAUGGAGAAUGGAUGCCUUGGUAUUAAGUAAUCAUAGCUUUAUGUUUGUACCAGGAUGUUAUUGAUAACUGUGAGGGAAGUGGUUUGGGCACCUCACCAUUAGCAAGAGCAAUAUUUACACUGGAAGAACAAGUGAAGUCUACAAGGAAUGUUAAGGUCCAGGAAACUAUAGGGUCAUUAUAGAGAUGUGGUAUUCAAAUUAGCAAGACCUUCAGCAUAGGCAUCACCUAGGAGCUUGUUAGAAAUGCAGAAUCUGAGGCAGUGCCAUGGACCUGCUGAAUCUACAGUUUAGUCAGCUCUUAAGGUUGUUGGUGUGCAUGCUAACAUUUGAGGAAUGCUGGUCAAGAGUCUCAAAUGGAAUGGAGCCAGUAAUUGAAAUUGGAAAACAGAGUACAAAGAGUGAGGGAUCAUGAGCCUGGGGUGCUGAAAUAAAUCAAAGGGAUCAGGAUCAAAGGAAGUUAUGAGUUUUUGUUUGUUUUAAUGAUGGGAGGGUGGGGUAAGAGAAUGGAUGGUUGGUAUCUUGAGUGAUGGCCAUAGUUAGAACCACCAUUGAUGCUUCGAGUUUUAUGAAGUGUGCAUGAGAUUACCUCAUUUAUGAUUAUGGGUGGAACAGACACUGGGUACUGUGGAAUCUGGCAGCUAUUAAACAUCGAAAUAGAUCACAAACUUGGAAGCCUGGUAAGGUGGAAGACUUGAGCUGAGUCAAGUCUGGGGAAGUGAUUGUUGUUGUCUGAAGAUGAAUCAGUCUCCUGGGGUUGCAAAACCUAUCAAACCUUUCCCUAAGAGCAAAGGCAUUGUAUUGAUGGGAUGAUUAUAAAGUUGGGCUUAGCUGUAUUCAUUUCUGAAGUCAGGUGAGUAUUGCAUGUGAGUGUUCUUUCCAGAUGGCAGUGACAGAUUAUGCAGGCAGGCCUAAAGAUGGAAACACUAGUAAAAAGAAUGAGAUUUUGCUAAGUUGAGAUUUGAGGAGCAGUUAGACUCACAUUCUGUUGGAAAUCACUGGGAAGCCCAACCAUCUCACAGUUGAAGAAAUGUCAGUAAUUAUGUUUUAAUUUCUAAAAUUUAAAUUAACUUUUUUACUAACACUAAAUAUUUUAACAUUAAUUUUUAUUGAUUUUACUUAUUUUCCUCUAAAAAACAGAAAUACACUCAUAAAAAGUCAAAAGAAUAUAGAACAAUGAUUAAAAUCAAUCUACAGUAUAUAAUAUACACAUAUUUAAUAGGUUGUAGCAUUUUAUAUAUACCCUCUCUCCAACUUCUUUCCCCUUUCCUCCCAAUUGGUAACUGUACUUAUGGCUUAGCAUGUUGUAUUCCAUAUCUUAGGAGGAAAAAAGAAUUUUUUAGUCAUGAUAGCAUCUGAAAUUUUGGAAGAGAAGAAAAUUUGUUUUAGUACCAACAAAUCUUUUGAAUAAAAAUUGUAUAGGGCUUUUAAGGACUAUAAUAAGGCCCAAAAGACAAGAUCUUUCUUUGAACUUACUAGCACUGUAGGCAGGAAAUGGGCUGCAAUGUAUUUUAGUCCCUGCCAAUUAUGUCAGUGAGAUCAGAGGUAUAUAUACAAUAUAUUUUUAGUGGUUACCAGCACUUAAGCUGUGGCAAUCCUCAUCCUACACUCUUGUGGCUUAGCUUGGCAGAUCUGAGAUGGGACAUAAGCCACAAAGUGCUAUGGGUCUUAGGACAUAAUGAAGUCAUACAUUACGGUAAAGGGUGGGGAGGGGGAAGAAACCCCAACAUUUUCCAAUAGCCAAGGUCUUUGCACAUAGAUGCUGCACAUACAUUUUAUUAUUUCUGUAUUUAUAGCUACUUAAACUAUGUAAAGAUUGCCUUAAUUUCUUUACCUAUAAACUUACAGGACUAAGUGACUUGCCUUUAUUUAUGCCACAGGGCUAUUCAAUGCCAUCUAGAAUACCCUUCAAAGCAAGUAUCCCUGGCUCCUCUCCAUACACAGUAGGUGUUAAAUGAUAGAACUCUGUUCGUGGGUAUCUUGUUAGGUGCUAUUGGGGCUCGGAAACAGAUACUUCAAACUAUGGUGCAUUGACAUGCUGAACUGAAGAAGCCUCAAGGUCUUUUUGAUUCCCCAUUCCCAUCUCUCAAUCUUCUGUUCUCCCCGGCCCCCAAAACAGGAUGAAGUUGUUCUUUGAAGUUUCCUUAUCUGCCUAAAGACUGGACCUGCCAAAAAGAAAACAAUUACUGCUGGUCCCUUCCCUGAGUUUUCAAUAACUGAACUCACAUGACAGGAGGAAACACUGAAGUCAGUAAACACUCCUGGAUAGACUUGUCACAAACCACUGUAGGUUCUGUGGGCCCAGCAGAUUUUGUCCCAGGCCUUUGUAUGUUCUUCGAGCCCAUUGACUUCCCCUAAAAAUCAUUUACUAUGCCCCUAAAAUCAUCCAGACUUCCUCAUCUCCCUUUUCCCCUAAGAAGGGUGUAUAACCUGUACCCCAUUGCAUAGUGGGGUAAUCACUCUGUGAUCUUCCCUCAUGCACAUCAAUAAAUUUAUAUGCUUUUUUCUUUUAA
Molecule: long non-coding RNA, 6957 nt
Organism: Homo sapiens (human)
Lineage: Eukaryota; Metazoa; Chordata; Mammalia; Primates; Hominidae
Exons: 2
Source: RefSeq, a predicted model, not a curated record